AUGGUCAUAGGAGCGUGGUGGGCAAUGAAGAAAAGCUUAUUAGUGAAGCUGGGUGUGUAUCUGCUGGUCAUCGUCAUGGCUAAUUGCGCUCGGGAUAUCCCUGACUCUGUUGUCAAGAACCCUCCCGUAUACACCUGCGAAGACAUCAGUGAGACGUGGCGCGGGGGGCUGUGCGCCAAGCACGGCACCUGUAACAAGCCGUGCCAGGCGGAAGGGUACGACUCGGGCUUCUGUGCCCCCUUCCCCUUCCUGACCACCUGCUGCUGCAAGAAGAACUGUAUCGAUGCUCUGCAGCCACGCAGGAGCAGCUUUUUGUGCGGAUAA
Molecule: ribosomal RNA, 324 nt
Filed under: Triticum aestivum (bread wheat)
Lineage: Eukaryota; Viridiplantae; Streptophyta; Magnoliopsida; Poales; Poaceae
Description: partial small subunit ribosomal RNA
Source: RNAcentral